UUAAAAUAGGUUGGUCAUGCCUCUGGUAUGUACUGGUCUCACUGAUUCCUCCUUCCUGAUGAACCGUAAUGCCAUUAAUUUGGUGUUGCGGGGAAUUUGGACUGUUACUUUGAAAAAAUUAGAGUGUUUAAAGCAAGCUAACGCUUGAAUACAUUAGCAUGGAAUAAUGAAAUAGGACGUUCGAUCCUAUUUUGUUGGUUUCUAGGAUUGACGUAAUGAUUAAUAGGGAUAGUUGGGGG
Molecule: ribosomal RNA, 239 nt
Filed under: uncultured Glomeromycotina
Lineage: Eukaryota; Fungi; Glomeromycota
Description: partial 18S ribosomal RNA
Rfam family: Eukaryotic small subunit ribosomal RNA (bases 39-239)
Source: RNAcentral